CCUGGUAUCAACGACAGAGCUCUCUCCUGGUAUCAACGACAGAAUCCUCUCCUGGUAUCAACGACAGAAUCCUCUCCUGGUAAGGAGAAUAACUAUCAACGACAGAGCCCUCUCCUGGUAUCAACGACAGAGCCCUCUCCUGGUAUCAACGACAGAAUCCUCUCCUGGUAUCAACGACAGAGCUCUCUCCUGGUAUCAACGACAGAAUCCUCUCCUGGUAUCAACGACAGAAUCCUCUCCUGGUAAGGAGAAUAACUAUCGACGACAGAGCUCUCUCCUGGUAUCAACGACAGAAUCCUCUCCUGGUAAGGAGAAUAACUAUCGACGACAGAGCCCUCUCCUGGUAUCAACGACAGAGCCCUCUCCUGGUAUCAACGACAGAGCCCUCUCCUGGUAUCAACGACAGAGCCCUCUCCUGGUAUCAACGACAGAGCCCUCUCCUGGUAUCAACGACAGAGCCCUCUCCUGGUAUCAACGACAGAGCUCUCUCCUGGUAUCAACGACAGAGCUCUCU
RNAcentral lists this long non-coding RNA (514 nucleotides) under Salmo salar (Atlantic salmon). Its description in RNAcentral is "lncRNA (ENSSSAG00000088234.1)". Lineage: Eukaryota; Metazoa; Chordata; Actinopteri; Salmoniformes; Salmonidae. The record is from RNAcentral.